GACGAACGCUGGCGGCGUGCCUAAUACAUGCAAGUUGAGCGCUGAAGGUUGGUACUUGUACCGACUGGAUGAGCAGCGAACGGGUGAGUAACGCGUGGGGAAUCUGCCUUUGAGCGGGGGACAACAUUUGGAAACGAAUGCUAAUACCGCAUAAAAACUUUAAACACAAGUUUUAAGUUUGAAAGAUGCAAUUGCAUCACUCAAAGAUGAUCCCGCGUUGUAUUAGCUAGUUGGUGAGGUAAAGGCUCACCAAGGCGAUGAUACAUAGCCGUCCUGAGAGGGUGAUCGGCCACAUUGGGACUGAGACACGGCCCAAACUCCUACGGGAGGCAGCAGUAGGGAAUCUUCGGCAAUGGACGAAAGUCUGACCGAGCAACGCCGCGUGAGUGAAGAAGGUUUUCGGAUCGUAAAACUCUGUUGGUAGAGAAGAACGUUGGUGAGAGUGGAAAGCUCAUCAAGUGACGGUAACUACCCAGAAAGGGACGGCUAACUACGUG
RNAcentral lists this ribosomal RNA (497 nucleotides) under uncultured bacterium. RNAcentral describes it as "partial 16S ribosomal RNA". It matches the Rfam family "Bacterial small subunit ribosomal RNA", at positions 28 to 507 of the family's 1533-position model. The record is from RNAcentral.